UUUGUCUGUCUGUGUAUCGGAAUAUCAGAAAUGCUGCCAACCCCGUCAUGAUGUAUACUAGUACUGUAUUUGCUAAUUUGAUAUGGUCGUACCAAAGACUUGAGUGCAGAGUCUGGUGCAAUGUACAUGUCUGUAUUUGAUUUAAGCGUAAGUAAUCCACAAGUCAACUAAACAUACAUACAUAUAUAUAUAGCGAAGAUAAGAUCAAAUAUCGGAACAGAAACGUACGAUCUUGUAUAUUGAGCUGGCCAAAUCCAGAGUCAACUGACGAACACGUCCACACAAAGAUCGUAUCAAACUCUCGCUUUCUUUCCUGAAAAGAUCAAACCAUCAAAAAAUACGUACUCUGAAUUUUUCUUAGCUUGUUCGUUGGACAGCGGCAUGCACUAAGAACGCGCCCACACACACACACACAUAACACAUUAUUACUAUUAGAGUAGCUGUCAUCAUUCACUUCUCUCACGUCGAUCUCUUUUUUCACAGGGUAAACAAGUUGGUAGUCGGUAGGCAAUCACUAUGUGAAACGGCCAGCUUCAUAUGGCCGGUCGGUCCAGUCAUCUCCAGCCCUUGGAAUUGGCCGAGUCCUCCUCGGGGAACAUGGAGGAGAGGAAGACGUACGUACUAAACUGCGGGGUUUUCUCUAUCGGGACGACGACGAGAAAGAAAACGUAAACCUUUUGGUGCUUUGCGUUGCAAGUUCGUACGUGUAUCGCGAGAUCGAUCGCUUGACGCGUAGUAGUUUAGAUCGCCAUUAGUCAAUGCGUUCGCGGCGGCGAUUUCCAUCGCGUCAGUCAAACGGACGAAUAGCUUGCGCGCGUUCUGCUGUCCCCAACGGUGCAGGUUCAUCAAGAAACAAGACUGCAGAUCAAACGCUGUAACUAAUGAACUGUCUAAGGUGUGUUCAUCCGCUGUCUGUCAGCGUUGCCUAUGAUUUUCUGACUGGUGAGCGAAAAAAAAGGGUAUGCAGUCCUUGGUGCGAACCGGAUCUUCGGUUGUUUUACAGACGUUUACCAGCACUAAUACAAUUCAUAACCACCUUUAUUACCUUAUCUACAGUCCAAUAACAAGACCAGAAGCCAGCGGGGCCAGCCGCAGCAGGGACUACACUGGCUAAGAUUAGUUUCUUUUUGCCGCAGGGAAGUGCUAACUAAUUAACUAGUGUUUGGCGUCCUGUCCAAAGGAAACUGCAAGGAAGGUGAGUGAGAGUGUGGCAGACAGCUCCUGCCUCUCCAGGCCCGGCCAAUGGCAGCUCAUCAGCUCACUUGUGUUGUGAGCUUCCUGUUAACAAUCUAGCUAGCUAGCUUAAGCUAAUCUGGUCGUCUUUAUUAUGGAUGGUCAGAGGUCCGCACUGAUUGGACACGGUGUCGAUCAGGGGCUUGGAUCACGCGGCAAUGUACGGGAGCGGAGUUCAUCAUGUGCGCUUGUCCUCUGCCCUUGUACCGUGGCGCACAUCAUAUGAUCGGAUUACUAUAAUCUGUGGGGUUUUGUGUUCGUCGGCGGCCUCAGUCCAAGAACCUUCGUUCCUUUUGUUGUAGGUCCGUCCACACGUCGAGUGCACGCGGAGAUACACUACUUUGAGAUCUGCAACUGCAACUGCACGUCGUUGCUUCUGCGAUAAAGUUUGACCUGUGUUACAUAACGAAUUUGCGUCCUGGAAUUUGUCUACAGACCCGCACGCGCUCGACGCCGUCGGAUUGGAGUCGCGCGGUCACGACUCUGUUUCAUGCAGAAAAAGUAUCAAUAAAUUCGCAUUACCAAAUCAGCAUCAUUAGAUUAAUCAAGGAAUUAAUUUCUCAUAUUGUACAUCUUAAGUAUUGUACAUAGGCGUUGAAAUUUGUCAUAUAAAUUUAGACAAUUUUUAUACACGGAGUAAAAAGAGACUAUCAAUAAAUUUAGACAUGAGUUCCUAUUUCCCGCGUUACGGGACGGAAUACCAGCAAUCACGCACCGCCUCCCCGUGCACGCACUUUGGGCCGGCCCAAGAUCCCGUACCCUCUUUUUUUUUACUUCAAAAAAUGUUCAUGAGUCCCAAAUUCGAGAAAAAAAAAUUGGUGUUACCCUAAUUAUUUAAAUGAAAAUUCAAAAAAUGUUCAAAAAAGUGAAAAAAUGUUCUAAAAAAUUAUAAAAUGCUCAGGAAUUUGCAAAAUAGUCUAGGAUUUUUCAAAAAAUGUUCGUGAACUUAAUUUUUUCGGAUUACAAAAAAAAAUUCAUCAAUUUUUCAAAAUGUUACCGAGUUUUAAAAAUGAUAUUGUAUUUUUCCCUGUAUUUCAUAAAAUGUUCACAGAUCCAAAAAAUCAUGAAUUCAAAAAAUGUUGUCCUUUUUAAAAAAAUCACCAAUUUAAAAAAAUCAUGGAUAUAAUAAAAAGGUUAAUUUGGAAUAAAAAAAUAUAAAUAUCGAAAUAAAAGAACAAACUAAAUAAAAUGGAAAAGGCACAAAAAAUCGAAAGAAACACACACACACAAACUGAACCUUCCAGAAACCGGAAAGAAGAGAUUAUCGGGCCGGCCCAACUGUGUGGGCCGUGGCAGUGCUAGUGUGCUACUACUCGCUAUGCCCUGCUUGCGGCUUACGCUGGGAUAAGCCCAGAUACAGUAGUAGCAGUGCCACCACGGCCCAGACAGCGGACAGCCAAGAGCCCACCCACUCCUGUACUGUUCUUUGUUGCUCGGCACGUAGGAGAGGGGAGGGGGAGAGAUAUCGGGACCUCCUAUUCAGCGCCUUCAGCGCCGGUUAGGAAAACCGGCGCCUGCAGCGCUCCUCUAAAUGGGCCGCCCCAUGUAAAAAAUGCAUUGGUCAAUAAAAAUUUGAAAAAAGUUCAGAGAAUUUCAAAAAGUUCAGAUUUGCAAAAAAAAGUUCAAUUAUUAUGGAAAAGUUCAGCGAUUUCUGAAAAAUAUGUACAUGGAUUUUCCAAAAUUUCACAGAAUUCGAAAAAAAUAAUCAUCAAUUUUUAAAAACAGUUCACUGAAUUUGAAAAAAGUUCAUGAAUUUUAAAUUAUGUUCAUCAAUUUUCAAAAAUGUUCACGAAUGUCCAAAGAAAAUCAUCAAUUUUCAAAAAAGUUCACCGAUUUAAAAAAAAUCACGGGCUAAAACAGUUCACGGGCUAAAGAAGUUUAUGAAAGAUCCCUACGUGGGCCGGCCCAUUGUGAAGCGCUGCAGGCGUCGGUUAGCAAAUUUUGCAUUUAAUCAGCGCCUGUGGCACUAAAUCAGGCGCUAAAUAGGUUUUCCCAGAGAUAUCUCUCCCUAAUAAUUAAGCAAAUACGGUUUCUGGUCAUUCGUCUUGAAAAUCUUUCCCUAAUAAUAAAGCAAAUACGGUUUCUGGACGUACGUCAUGGAAAUUACCCUUAAAGUUUACAUAAAUUAUCCAUUAUGCCACCGGUAAGUAAUAGAAAACGUUUUACAAAGCACAAAGUCUUGGACUGGGCCGGCCCAUGUAAAACCUCCUAUAUUACGCUCUGCAUGCUGGGAGAAUAUCCAGCACACCGUAUGGGUCGGCCCAUGCACAGGCGCCUGCUUUUAGUUCCGUUUAUUUAUUUAUUUUCAGUUCCGUUUUAAUUUUUGUAUUAUAAAUAAUUUAGAACUUCAAAUAGUGUUUAAAUUUUUAGAAAAUUAUAAGUCAACAUAUUUAAAAAAAUAAAAUGUUUGUGACUUUAAAAACUGCCCAGAGUUUUGUAAAAAAUGCUCGCAUAUACAAUAAAAUGUUUGCAAUUUGAGAAAAAUGUUUAUACAAUAAGAAAAGUCCAUGAUUUCAAAAACAAUUCCAUGUAUUAAAAAAUAUUAAAGGCAUUUAACAAAAUGCUUUCUAAUUCAAAAUAUGUUAAUGCAUUUAAAAAAUGUCUUAAAAUUUUAAAAAUAGCUAAUGCCUGUUUUGUUAGUUUCUUUUCUUAUUUAUAAUUUAGAAUAAAAAAAACUUUGGCAUAUUAAAAGUAGGAAUUUUGAAUUAAAAUGCUGACGAAAACAUAAAAAGGUUUGUGGAUUAAAAAAACGCCGAUUUUUAUAUAUUUUUGCAAAUUCCAAAACAAUGUCCAUGAAUUUAAUAAAUAUAUUACUGAUUUAUAAAAAUGUUUGUUUAUUUUGAAAAACUUCAUGCGUUUCAAAAAAUGUUUGUGAAUUUACAAUAAAAUGCUCCAACAUCAAAAAUUAUGUUCGUCUUUUCUUGAAUUGAUCGCCAAUUUAAAAGAAAAUAUUUAAACCCGUUCGAAAUAUAAAAAAUAUUUAUAAUUUUUAGUUAAUGUUUGUAAAUUGUAAAAAAUAUUCUUGAUUUUAAAAUUGUUCGCAUAUUUGUAAAAUUGUUCACGAAAGAUCUAAUGUAUGUAGUUAAACAUUAAUGCUUCUAAGUCUUUAUGACAAUAUACCUGUGUGAAUUUUGAAAAAAUAACUGCUUGAUGCAUCGAAUUAUUAUUGUAUGUUUUAAAAAAAAAUCUUGAAAUUCAGAAUAAAUCUUUGAGUUACCAAGAUUUUUGACAACCAUGAUAUAUAUUUUUUGAAAAUGUAAAGAUUGCUUCAACUUGUGAAUAAUUUAAAAGAAGAUACAUUUUCUUGCAUUUGUGAAUAAAAUUUUAAAAUCAAAGGAUGAUAUGUGAACAUAAUGUGGUCAUCAUCAUUGUAGAUUAUAUUGUUUUUUUCUUUCGUGACAACGCACGGGCCAUUUUGCUAGUUACUCCUAAAGUUCGUAUAAAUUACCCACCAUGGCACCGAUAAGUAAUAGAAACGUUUCACAAAGCGAAAAAUCUUGGACUGGGCCGGCCCAUGUAAAAACGUCAUAUAUUACGCUCUGCACGCUGGGAGAAUAUCUAACACACCGUAAGGGCCGGCCAUGCACAGGCGCCUGCUUUNUUUCAAAAAAUGUUUGUGAAUUUAAAAUAAAAUCCUCCAACAUAAAAAAUUAUGUUCAUCUUUUCUUGAAUUGGUCGCCAAUUCAAAGAAUAAUAUCUAAACCCGUUCGAAAUAUAAAAAAUAUUCACGAUUUUUAAGAAAUGUUUGUAAAUUGUAAAAAAGAUUCUCGAUUUUAAAAUUGUUUCCUUAUUUAUAAAAUUGUUCACGAAAGAUGUAAUGUAUGUAGUUAAACAUUAAUGCUUCUAAGUCUAUGUGACAAUAUACUUGUGUAAAUUUUAAAGAAUUAAAUGUUGGAUGGAUCGGAUUAUUAUUGUAUGUUUUCUAAAAAAAUUCUUAAAAUUCAGAAUAAAUCUUUGAGUUACCAAGAUUUUUGACAACCAUGAUAUAUAUUUUUUGAAAAUGUAAAGAUUGCUUCAACUUGUGAAUAAAUUUGAAAGAAGAAACAUUUUCUUGCAUUUGUGCACAAAAUUUCUUAAUCAAGCAAUGAUAUAUGAAUAUAAUGUAAUCAUCAUGAUUGGAGAUUAUUUUUCUUCCAUGCCAACGCACGGACCAUUUUGCUAGUCUCCACUCAAAAGGUAAACAGAAAGGAGAGGGGACGAGACAAGGCCGUCAAAGUCUGGCCGUCGCCUUCAGCACACCCCCCUCCGCCGACCAUCCGGCGAGUGGCAGCGGCUCAACGUCGUCGUGAUCCACAAGAAGAAUCGGGGGACGGGGACUUACUAGAUGAAUCGCUGCCUGCCGCCUUUAUUCCAUUUCCAUGUACGUGGAUAGGGGAGAACAACCAAUAAUGCACCCGGCGCCCCCUGCUCCUGCUGGCUGGCAUGCACAAGGAAAAUUCCUACUACUGAAAUCCUUCGGAUCAGAAGAGGCCCCGAAGGAUUCUCUUUAAACACCUGCUUAUUCAAGCCAAAGAUACAAAAAGAUGGAAAGACCGAGCGUCAAACGAACAUAGGUAUUAUACAUCUGAAAACAGGGUGCGCUGGAAGGACCACCUUCAGUUUUGGGGCAUCCAUUUUUCUUUCUCUUUUUGUCAAACGAGGACGACGGCCGGAUAGCUCUUAUCAUUGAGAUAAUGAUGGAACUAACACAAAAUACCAGCAUCCUUUACGUGCCAAACUGAAAGUAAAGCCUAGGCUAGGAGGAGGAGCUUUCCAGGGCACGCUUACUGCUACCCACCCAAAACACACUUUAAACUUCACAACCCCACAAAGGGCUGCCAAAACAGACCAUCUCUGGAUCUCUAUCACCAGGAAAGGCACAACAGGACCAAAAGGAGCGCCAAAUUGGUGGCAGUUCAAUCUGCAACUAGCAAUGGAGGAGGGCAUCCAAGUUGCACAACAGAUCUAUCCUAGUAAAAAAGAAACUGGAAAUUUAGAGAUGGCCACCCUCAACUGACAGAAGUAAAAAAGAAGGCGCAACUCAUGUAAUUUAGAGAUGGUAGAUGAUGCAUAGCUUUCCCUCCCCCCUCACUAAACAAGUAAACCCUACAUACUGAAAGCUGAAUAUUGCCCUCUCAAUAAAGAUACUGAAAAGAUGAAAGGAAUAUUCAAGCUGUUUUCCUAUUCAAUCUUAUGCCUUCUGGGGAACAUUGUUAUCUUGACAAAAAGAGAUGAUUCUCCUUUUUAUGCUUCAGUCACCGAGGAUAUGUAAGGAGCACAACGCUUUUGGUCUGAGCAUCAGAUGACCAAACCAGAUAUUUUGCCAGUAUAGGAAACCACUAAAGCCAGGAGGACAUGUAUAAGCACAAUGGUGUUAUGUCAGCCUGCUUGCCUCCUAGACGUUUUUCUAGCAUGGAGGGUAUAGCCUUCGCUUAGCGAAGGGAUGAUCACUGUGAAAGAGACAUCAUUAAGUACUAGAGAUGACAGUUAGUGUAUGUUGUGUCUCUUUUGUGUCACAUCUCUAGGUGAUAUGAAGGACAACCUGAAGUAAGGAAGGUAUAUAUGCAUAUUUANNNNNNNNNNNNNNNNNNNNNNNNNNNNNNNNNNNNNNNNNNNNNNNNNNNNNNNNNNNNNNNNNNNNNNNNNNNNNNNNNNNNNNNNNNNNNNNNNNNNNNNNNNNNNNNNNNNNNNNNNNNNNNNNNNNNNNNNNNNNNNNNNNNNNNNNNNNNNNNNNNNNNNNNNNNNNNNNNNNNNNNNNNNNNNNNNNNNNNNNNNNNNNNNNNNNNNNNNNNNNNNNNNNNNNNNNNNNNNNNNNNNNNNNNNNNNNNNNNNNNNNNNNNNNNNNNNNNNNNNNNNNNNNNNNNNNNNNNNNNNNNNNNNNNNNNNNNNNNNNNNNNNNNNNNNNNNNNNNNNNNNNNNNNNNNNNNNNNNCUUCCGAUCUAUGUGAAGGAAGGACCAACUGGAUUCGACUUUGCUAGUACAUAGAAUCCUUAUCAUCACGUGAAUACACGUAACAGUCAACUUUCUACAAAACUUUUCAUAUGCCAUAUCAAUAAUAUCCGGAGGUAGUUUAGGCCUUGUGUGUACGGACCCAUGACCUGUUUCUCCAGUUCUACUCAACUAAUAGUUUAAUUUGUGCACAUAACAAAUAACUGAAUGGAUUGUUGGGUUGGCCCAAUCGGCCCAAACUUUCAUCCUUACGUAUGGAUAGGCUAACCUGUCGAAUAAAACUGAAGAAUAAAACAGAAUGGUAUUAUAGAAAACUGGCCGAAAAUUCUAAAACACAUGAUGGUCUGCAGUGCUGCAUAAAUAUUUUUAAGGCAAGGGUGAAAAUCAAACCAACACCAGAGCAAAGAUUGUCGGAAUAUGUUAAAUAAUAACAGUAACACAGUGAAGAUUAAGCUAGUCUAGAUAAACUACCUUACAUCUUUGCUAAAACUUGCACAGAACAUAACGAAGGCUUCAAGAAGAUGCAUGCAGCUGACCUUUUCAGUGAUACCAAAAGAGUGGUGGUCCAACAUAGAGUAUCGUUGCAACUUGGCAGGUCCCAGCAGAAACAAUUCACCCUGUAAACAAUACUAUUAACGUGACAAAGCUCUAGACCCUGAGUGCAAUUAAGUGGGUCGCAGGCAUAUGUUUCCUGUUGCUACCAGUCUAUUUAUGUAAUCCCUGAAUUAGAAUGGAACAAUGACCCUAAGAUAUAAGGAACAUGAGUUUUCAGAAGGGAAAAAAAAUCUGUUAAUGCUGUGCAAGUGCAUUACAAGCCAACAACAAAACAAUAUGAGAAGAUAUCUAAAAGAAGUUACAUAGGAAAAAGUACUUAGUAUGACUAAAUGUGCAGUUGUAAUGAAGAGCCUAAACACGUUAAGUACACCUAUAUGUUCAGCGCCACUAGAUUGUUAGGCCCAGAAGUAUGGUAUUAUGUCAAAAGAGGUUGCAACCAAAGGAAUGCGCUAAAAUCACCCACAGUUCACAAGCUUGUUCCAGAAUUCCACAGCAAUGCUAAUAAUCAGAUGGCUUAAACAUGCACGCCAAAAUAUCUACAGCCUGACUAUUUCAUAAAGUUCAGGACCAAAGCGACGUGUAUACCAUGACAUGACGCUAGUAUCAAAACUUUUGAAAGGUGAAUAAGACAACCCCGGUCGCGCAAUACAAGUAGUUCACUCAUGCACCAGCACCAGCCCCGUGCUGGCUGGCAUGCACAAGGAAAACGAUCAAUCACACUUCACACGGGUUCCUUCCAACUUCACAGAUCAAGGGUUAAUUUGCGGUAAUGUCAAAAUAUAAACAUAGAAUUC
This 8510-nucleotide long non-coding RNA is filed under the name Hordeum vulgare. RNAcentral describes it as "long non-coding RNA (HVUL_LNC002121)". The record is from RNAcentral. Lineage: Eukaryota; Viridiplantae; Streptophyta; Magnoliopsida; Poales; Poaceae.